UGAAGAACCGUGCUUUGGAAUACCAAAAUAUGGAAAUGUCUGAAGAGUCAGGUUCGGAUAAACCUACCUAAGACUGUUUAUUUUUUAUAUGUUGGUUAUUGGUCCUCCCAAAUUUUUAUUCUAAGUGUUCCAAAUUCCAUUGAAGGUGUCACCACUGAGUACAACAAUGACGGCAUAUAUGAUUCCACUGAGAACAACAACUACAUAUACGCGCUACGGUCACUUCAGAAACUACGGGAUGAUACUAUUCACAAGCAACGCGUACUUCAGGAUCGAAUGGCUCAAUGUGAUAUGGACAUUCAGAUGACCUUGAGUGAAGGGGCGAUGACACCAAAAGUGGUCUUAGACAAAUAGGAGGAAAUUGGCUCAAAUAUGAUGGAAGUUGCCAAUUCAUCUUGCUCUGGAGAUGGCGGCCAAUCCAUCACUAGGAUUAAGGGAUUGAGGGAGGCACUCCUCGGACAUGAUUCAU
This is a long non-coding RNA of Aegilops tauschii subsp. strangulata, 469 nucleotides long. RefSeq lists it as uncharacterized. NCBI's taxonomy places the organism in Eukaryota, Viridiplantae, Streptophyta, Magnoliopsida, Poales, Poaceae. The record is from RefSeq and is a predicted model, not a curated record.